UUGACAUUCACAGCUGACAAUAUUUGUGACUCAAUCAUUUCAGCCUCAUUUACAUUCUCAAUUUUGGUCAUAACUUGUCACUGAAUUUUUUAAGGGACUUGUAUUAAAGAGGAGUAUUAGGGGACAGAAGAAAUUGUCAUAAACUCACCAGCCCAUCAUUUGGCCUUACCUGCUGUUGGAGGCUGAACGCGUUGAUAAACAUUGCUAGAGUGUUGCAGUCAGUGGGAGUUAGGAGUCCACAUUUGCCGUAAGAAGAACCAGAGAAGUCACCUGAGUGACUCAGGUACUUGGAGAAGAACCAUUGAGACAGAAGAGACUGGAUACAAAUGGAACAUCAUAGGGAUAACAACACAGGACAGGAGAUCUUGUAGCCGGCUUAUGUGUAGACAUCCACGAAGAGGAGCUAUAGUGACUCAGCUUCCUGGGCCUCAAAAGACUAGCUAUUACACCCUACAGUAGGAGCAGUUCCUAUCGCCUAAAAGCAGAAAGAGGUUCUCUUAUCAUGUGAUCCAUUUCUGGACUGUGGAGUGUUGUGACAUUAUUGAUGUUAAACAGCUGUGAUGAAGACUGGAUAUUUGGGGUCACUCUCUGUUACAGUACUAUGUAUCCAAGUUGAGUUGAGUGGAAUAAUGAAUCUCCAGAUAUCCAUGUACACGUGUGUGAUUAAAGUUCUGUUGCACUCGCGCAUGCGAGCUUAUCCUA
Long non-coding RNA from Ostrea edulis (European flat oyster), 702 nucleotides. RefSeq lists it as uncharacterized. Lineage: Eukaryota; Metazoa; Mollusca; Bivalvia; Ostreida; Ostreidae. The transcript has 5 exons. The record is from RefSeq and is a predicted model, not a curated record.